UCGUAUUCGGCUGCCUUUCAGUUUUCAGGCUGCCUGCCUGCAUGUGCAUGCCGCCUGUGCACCGGCCCUACCACUGGCGGAGCCACCGUCCGGCCAUCCGGGCGGCCGGCCGGGCUCCACAUCAAAUUAUAAAAGAAAUCUUCUUUAUAUUUAUAUAAAAUUUUAUGAUUUUAUAGUUAAAUAUUCUGGACCCUACUACCGGGCGCGCAGAAAGCGGCUGUCCGUGUCGACGCUUGCCGCUUGGCCUGUGCCAAGGGCAACUUGGCCGCGUCUGUUCGUGCAGGAAAGGAACCGUGCUGAUUUUAUGAUAUGCUGUAUAUAGGUUACGAUCAGGGCUCGGCAGGCGAAGGCGUAGAGUGAUGAUAACCUUGUGCAGUUAUUAUGGAACUUGUUUCAUUUUCAAGGUGUACCGAGAAGAAUCCAGCGAGAGAGGGCGUUCAGGAAGAAAAAAACAAUUCCGAAAAAAAAAAGAAAAAAUCGCUGAUCCUGAGCUCGUGAGGUACAGAAGUUUACAAGUCCAGACGUGUGCUGACUCCAAUCAUCAGUACAGUAGUUUUACGUGCGUGACACAGACACGGACUCUCUCCAGUGUACUACUGCUACUAUAACUCAAUCAUCACGGAAUACAACGAUCUUGGGCCAAUGAUCACAGAGGUUACGUGGUAUGCAACGUGAUUACGUGAGAGAUCGUACGCCGCUCGAAACUCCCCCGUUCACGAACGGAGAGAUGCAAUGAUUUUCUUGCACGGAGAAGCAGAACCAACGACGCGCCCGCGCCCGCCGCGCCUCCCCCGGCCCGCGCUGACCGGUCGGUGCGCCGAAGAACACGGGCCAGGCUGUGCCCGAUCACAAUAAUGUGUGCUGAUCCACACAGCAGACAGCACGGGAAGAUCUAGGCCUUGUUUAGUUCCGAAAAUUUUUGCAAAAUCGACACUGUAGCACUUUCAUUUGUAUUCGACAAAUAUUGUCUAAUCAUAGACUAACUAGGCUUCAAAGAUUCGUUUCGUCAAUUCUGACCAAACCG
RNAcentral lists this long non-coding RNA (1024 nucleotides) under Sorghum bicolor (sorghum). RNAcentral describes it as "long non-coding RNA (SBIC_LNC018278)". Lineage: Eukaryota; Viridiplantae; Streptophyta; Magnoliopsida; Poales; Poaceae. The record is from RNAcentral.